Molecule: long non-coding RNA, 669 nt
Filed under: Parus major (Great Tit)
Lineage: Eukaryota; Metazoa; Chordata; Aves; Passeriformes; Paridae
Description: lncRNA (ENSPMJG00000007436.1)
Source: RNAcentral
CAAGUAUCAUUCUCUCCUUUGAAACACUAUACUGUUUUUUUCAGAAGGCCUGAUCCUGUAGUGGAUGGAGUCCACCGAGAAUCCUUCUAAUUUUGUGAGCUACUGGUCAGGCUAUGGUUGAAUUCAGUCUGUUUGCAGGAGCAUAGCCAGCACUCUGAGAUAUCCUGGAAGAAAGGACUGCUCUGCAGAAGCUCACUGAAAGACUUCCUGAUAGGAAAAAAUCACUGCUGGAGAGAUGGAAAGGAGCCCACACAGUGGAAGGCUAGUGUAGCAAACUGGCUCUGGCUGCUGCUGUCAGUGAUAUUCUGAAAGCUUGGAAGAAUGGAAGAUACUCUGUGUGGUUGGGCCAAGGGAUUAUUUGGGUUCAACUGAUGUGCAUGGACUAAGGACUCAACAGUACUCCAAAUUUGUAGGAAAUUGAUGAUCAUUCUCCUCCUGCAUGCUGUAAGUUGACUGUUACUCCAGCUUUCACACAACUGUGACUUAGCUCUCUCCAGACCAAUUUUUUUUUAAUCUGUGGCACUGUGUUCCUCAUGGAUUCAUGCAAUGAUUUACCAAGCACAAAACUAGCCACAAGUAACAGACUGAAAUCUAUGAAAGAUCAUUUCUUCAACUAAAACCCAUGAAACUUAAUUACUGAGUGCAAAGAGUCCUCCAGGGAGAGUGUUU